GGGCCGUUAGCUCAGUUGGUAGAGCACCGGACUUUUAAUCCGUUGGUCCUGCGUUCGAGUCGCAGACGGCCCACCA
This 76-nucleotide transfer RNA is filed under the name Methylophaga thiooxydans. It matches the Rfam family "tRNA". From Rfam's summary of the family: Transfer RNA (tRNA) molecules are approximately 80 nucleotides in length. Their secondary structure includes four short double-helical elements and three loops (D, anti-codon, and T loops). Further hydrogen bonds mediate the characteristic L-shaped molecular structure. tRNAs have two regions of fundamental functional importance: the anti-codon, which is responsible for specific mRNA codon recognition, and the 3' end, to which the tRNAs corresponding amino acid is attached (by aminoacyl-tRNA synthetases). tRNAs cope with the degeneracy of the genetic code in two manners: having more than one tRNA (with a specific anti-codon) for a particular amino acid; and 'wobble' base-pairing, i.e. permitting non-standard base-pairing at the 3rd anti-codon position. RNAcentral also lists the same sequence under 6 other names. Lineage: Bacteria; Pseudomonadati; Pseudomonadota; Gammaproteobacteria; Thiotrichales; Piscirickettsiaceae. The record is from RNAcentral.